This 257-nucleotide ribosomal RNA is filed under the name uncultured bacterium. RNAcentral describes it as "partial 16S ribosomal RNA". It matches the Rfam family "Bacterial small subunit ribosomal RNA", at positions 524 to 776 of the family's 1533-position model. The record is from RNAcentral.
UACGUAGGGUGCAAGCGUUGUCCGGAAUUAUUGGGCGUAAAGAGCUCGUAGGCGGUCUGUCGCGUCGGCUGUGAAAACCCGGAGCUCAACUCCGGGCCUGCAGUCGAUACGGGCGGACUUGAGUACUGCAGGGAGACUGGAAGUUCCUGGUGUAGCGGUGAAAUGACGCAGAUAUCAGGAGGAACACCGGUGGCGAAGGCGGGGUCUCUGGGCAGUAACUGACGCUGGAGGAGCGAAAGCGUGGGGAGCGAAACAGG